Molecule: long non-coding RNA, 2175 nt
Filed under: Gallus gallus (chicken)
Lineage: Eukaryota; Metazoa; Chordata; Aves; Galliformes; Phasianidae
Description: lncRNA (ENSGALG00010002200.1)
Source: RNAcentral
GUGGGGAUGGAGGGAUAAUAUGGGGGCAGAGGGGGAGAUUUGCGGUCAAAGGGACAAAUUUGGGGACAAAUUUGGGGUCAGGGGUGGGGAUGGAGGGAUAAUAUGGGGGCAGAGGGGGAGAUUUGGGGUCAGGGGGACAAAUUUGGGGUCAGGGAUGGGGAUGGAGGGAUAAUAUGGGGGCAGAGGGGGAGAUUUGGGGUCAGGGGUGGGGAUGGAGGGAUAAUAUGGGGGCAGAGGGGGAGAUUUGGGGUCAGGGGUGGGGAUGGAGGGAUAAUAUGGGGGCAGAGGGGGAGAUUUGGGGUCAAAGGGACAAAUUUGGGGACAAAUUUGGGGUCAGGGGUGGUGAUGGAGGGACAGUAUGGGGGCAGAGAGGGAAAUUUGGGGUCAAAGGGACAAAUUUGGGGUCAGGGAUAGAGACUGAGGGACAAUAUGGGGUCAGGGAUGGGGAUGGAGGGACAAUAUGGGGUCAGAGGGGGAAAUAUGGGGUCAAAGGGACAAAUUUGGAGUCAGGGUGGGGACAAAAUGGGGACAGAGGGACAAAUUUGGGGUCAGAGGUGGGGAUGGGGGGAUAAUAUGGGGGCAGAGGGGGAAAUUUGGGGUCAGGAGUGGGGACGGGGGGAUAAUAUGGGGUCAGAGAUGGGGAUGGAGGGGCAAAAUUGGGGCCAAAGGGGCAAAUUUGGGGUGAGGGGUGGGGAAAGAGGGAGAAAUUUGGGGUCAAAGGGGCAAAUGUGGGGUCAGGGAUGGGGACAAAGUUGGGGACAGAUAUGGGGUCAGGAAUGGGGUCAGGAAUGGGGUCAGGAGGACUCACGGUCCCGCAGCGGUGGUGGCACUGCGGGCUGCGGUGCCUUUAUGGGGUGGGGGUGGGGACAAAGGGGUGGGGACAAAAGGGGGGACGACAGGGGGGGGGGAUGACUGUGGGGUCUGUGGGGUGGCCAUGGGGUCUAUGGGGCGACAAUGGCCUCCAUGGGGUGACAAUGGGUUCAAUGGGGUGAUAAUAGGUUCUAUGGGGUGAUAAUGGGCUCUAUGGGGUGAUAAUGGGCUCUAUGGGGUAACAAUAGGUUCUAUAGGGCAACAAUGGGCUCUAUGGGGUAACAAUAGGUUCUAUGGGGUGAUAAUGGGCUCUGUGGGGUAACAAUGGGCUCUAUGGGGUGGCAGAGGGGUCUAUGGGGUGAUGAUGGGCUCUAUGGGGUGACGAUGGGCUCUACGGAGUAACAAUGGGCUCUAUGGGGCAAUCAUAGGUUCUAUGGGGUGAUAAUGGGCUCUAUGGGGCGACAAUGGGCUCUAUGGGGUAACAAUGGGUUCUAUGGGGUAACAAUGGGUUCUAUGGGGUAACAAUGGGUUCUAUGGGGUGAUAAUAAGUUCUAUGGGGUGAUAAAGGGCUCUAUGGGGUGAUAAUGGGCUCUAUGGGGUGACAAUGGGCUCUAUGGGGUAACAAUGGGUUCUAUGCGGUGAUAAUAAGUUCUAUGGGGUAACAAUGGGCUCUAUGGGGUAAUAAUGGGCUCUAUGGGGUGACAGUGGGCUUUAUGGGGUGACGAUGGGCUCUAUGGGGUAACAAUGGGUUCUACGGGGUGAUAAUAGGUUCUAUUGGGUAAUAAUGGGCUCUAUGGAGCAACAAUGGGCUCUAUGGGGUAACAAUGGGCUCUAUGGGGUGGCAGAGGGGUCUAUGAGUUAACAAUGGGCUCUAUGGGGUGACAGUGGGCUCUAUGGGGUGAUGAUGGGCUCUAUGGGGUAACAAUAGGUUCUUUGGGGUGAUAAAGGGCUCUAUGGGGUGAUAAUAGGUUCUAUGAGGUGAUAAUGGGCUCUAUGGAGUAACAAUGGGUUCUAUGGGAUAACAAUGGCCUCUAUGGGGUAACAAUGGGCUCUAUGGGGUGCUAAUAGGUUCUAUGGGGCGCUGAUAGGUUCUAUGGGGCGGCGAUGCACUCCGUGUGCCGACAAUGCCCUCCAUGGGGUCCCCCUUCCAUCCCCCCCCCCCAUCCCAUCCCAUCCCCUUCCUGUAGGGCCGCCCCUCCCUUCCUCCCCCCCCCCCCCCCCGACGUCCCCUUCCUGUUGACGCCGCUCUGACGGUGACAGCAAAGGGACAAUGGGGACAAUGAUGGGACCCCACAGCCGCCACCACCCCCCACAUGAUGAUGUCCCCCCCCCCAUAUUGUGUGUCCCCCCAUAUUAUGUCCCCCC